RNAcentral lists this ribosomal RNA (2921 nucleotides) under Staphylococcus aureus. RNAcentral describes it as "bacterial LSU rRNA". It matches the Rfam family "Bacterial large subunit ribosomal RNA". The record is from RNAcentral. Lineage: Bacteria; Bacillati; Bacillota; Bacilli; Caryophanales; Staphylococcaceae.
UUAAGUUAUUAAGGGCGCACGGUGGAUGCCUUGGCACUAGAAGCCGAUGAAGGACGUUACUAACGACGAUAUGCUUUGGGGAGCUGUAAGUAAGCUUUGAUCCAGAGAUUUCCGAAUGGGGAAACCCAGCAUGAGUUAUGUCAUGUUAUCGAUAUGUGAAUACAUAGCAUAUCAGAAGGCACACCCGGAGAACUGAAACAUCUUAGUACCCGGAGGAAGAGAAAGAAAAUUCGAUUCCCUUAGUAGCGGCGAGCGAAACGGGAAGAGCCCAAACCAACAAGCUUGCUUGUUGGGGUUGUAGGACACUCUAUACGGAGUUACAAAGGACGACAUUAGACGAAUCAUCUGGAAAGAUGAAUCAAAGAAGGUAAUAAUCCUGUAGUCGAAAAUGUUGUCUCUCUUGAGUGGAUCCUGAGUACGACGGAGCACGUGAAAUUCCGUCGGAAUCUGGGAGGACCAUCUCCUAAGGCUAAAUACUCUCUAGUGACCGAUAGUGAACCAGUACCGUGAGGGAAAGGUGAAAAGCACCCCGGAAGGGGAGUGAAAUAGAACCUGAAACCGUGUGCUUACAAGUAGUCAGAGCCCGUUAAUGGGUGAUGGCGUGCCUUUUGUAGAAUGAACCGGCGAGUUACGAUUUGAUGCAAGGUUAAGCAGUAAAUGUGGAGCCGUAGCGAAAGCGAGUCUGAAUAGGGCGUUUAGUAUUUGGUCGUAGACCCGAAACCAGGUGAUCUAUCCUUGGUCAGGUUGAAGUUCAGGUAACACUGAAUGGAGGACCGAACCGACUUACGUUGAAAAGUGAGCGGAUGAACUGAGGGUAGCGGAGAAAUUCCAAUCGAACCUGGAGAUAGCUGGUUCUCUCCGAAAUAGCUUUAGGGCUAGCCUCAAGUGAUGAUUAUUGGAGGUAGAGCACUGUUUGGACGAGGGGCCCCUCUCGGGUUACCGAAUUCAGACAAACUCCGAAUGCCAAUUAAUUUAACUUGGGAGUCAGAACAUGGGUGAUAAGGUCCGUGUUCGAAAGGGAAACAGCCCAGACCACCAGCUAAGGUCCCAAAAUAUAUGUUAAGUGGAAAAGGAUGUGGCGUUGCCCAGACAACUAGGAUGUUGGCUUAGAAGCAGCCAUCAUUUAAAGAGUGCGUAAUAGCUCACUAGUCGAGUGACACUGCGCCGAAAAUGUACCGGGGCUAAACAUAUUACCGAAGCUGUGGAUUGUCCUUUGGACAAUGGUAGGAGAGCGUUCUAAGGGCGUUGAAGCAUGAUCGUAAGGACAUGUGGAGCGCUUAGAAGUGAGAAUGCCGGUGUGAGUAGCGAAAGACGGGUGAGAAUCCCGUCCACCGAUUGACUAAGGUUUCCAGAGGAAGGCUCGUCCGCUCUGGGUUAGUCGGGUCCUAAGCUGAGGCCGACAGGCGUAGGCGAUGGAUAACAGGUUGAUAUUCCUGUACCACCUAUAAUCGUUUUAAUCGAUGGGGGGACGCAGUAGGAUAGGCGAAGCGUGCGAUUGGAUUGCACGUCUAAGCAGUAAGGCUGAGUAUUAGGCAAAUCCGGUACUCGUUAAGGCUGAGCUGUGAUGGGGAGAAGACAUUGAGUCUUCGAGUCGUUGAUUUCACACUGCCGAGAAAAGCCUCUAGAUAGAAAAUAGGUGCCCGUACCGCAAACCGACACAGGUAGUCAAGAUGAGAAUUCUAAGGUGAGCGAGCGAACUCUCGUUAAGGAACUCGGCAAAAUGACCCCGUAACUUCGGGAGAAGGGGUGCUCUUUAGGGUUAACGCCCAGAAGAGCCGCAGUGAAUAGGCCCAAGCGACUGUUUAUCAAAAACACAGGUCUCUGCUAAACCGUAAGGUGAUGUAUAGGGGCUGACGCCUGCCCGGUGCUGGAAGGUUAAGAGGAGUGGUUAGCUUCUGCGAAGCUACGAAUCGAAGCCCCAGUAAACGGCGGCCGUAACUAUAACGGUCCUAAGGUAGCGAAAUUCCUUGUCGGGUAAGUUCCGACCCGCACGAAAGGCGUAACGAUUUGGGCACUGUCUCAACGAGAGACUCGGUGAAAUCAUAGUACCUGUGAAGAUGCAGGUUACCCGCGACAGGACGGAAAGACCCCGUGGAGCUUUACUGUAGCCUGAUAUUGAAAUUCGGCACAGCUUGUACAGGAUAGGUAGGAGCCUUUGAAACGUGAGCGCUAGCUUACGUGGAGGCGCUGGUGGGAUACUACCCUAGCUGUGUUGGCUUUCUAACCCGCACCACUUAUCGUGGUGGGAGACAGUGUCAGGCGGGCAGUUUGACUGGGGCGGUCGCCUCCUAAAAGGUAACGGAGGCGCUCAAAGGUUCCCUCAGAAUGGUUGGAAAUCAUUCAUAGAGUGUAAAGGCAUAAGGGAGCUUGACUGCGAGACCUACAAGUCGAGCAGGGUCGAAAGACGGACUUAGUGAUCCGGUGGUUCCGCAUGGAAGGGCCAUCGCUCAACGGAUAAAAGCUACCCCGGGGAUAACAGGCUUAUCUCCCCCAAGAGUUCACAUCGACGGGGAGGUUUGGCACCUCGAUGUCGGCUCAUCGCAUCCUGGGGCUGUAGUCGGUCCCAAGGGUUGGGCUGUUCGCCCAUUAAAGCGGUACGCGAGCUGGGUUCAGAACGUCGUGAGACAGUUCGGUCCCUAUCCGUCGUGGGCGUAGGAAAUUUGAGAGGAGCUGUCCUUAGUACGAGAGGACCGGGAUGGACAUACCUCUGGUGUACCAGUUGUCGUGCCAACGGCAUAGCUGGGUAGCUAUGUGUGGACGGGAUAAGUGCUGAAAGCAUCUAAGCAUGAAGCCCCCCUCAAGAUGAGAUUUCCCAACUUCGGUUAUAAGAUCCCUCAAAGAUGAUGAGGUUAAUAGGUUCGAGGUGGAAGCAUGGUGACAUGUGGAGCUGACGAAUACUAAUCGAUCGAAGACUUAAUCAA